AAGCCUCAGAGACAGAGAUACCGUGACCAUGAAGGUCACUUUCCCAAGGUAAAGCUCAUUCAAUGCACUCUGUCUGUCCUGACCCUGGUAGUCCACAAGUGUGGGAAACUUCACUGCAUAAUUUGUGGUAGUGGGGAAUUGCAUUUAUUCAGGAUCCCCC
Molecule: small nuclear RNA, 160 nt
Organism: Peromyscus maniculatus bairdii (prairie deer mouse)
Lineage: Eukaryota; Metazoa; Chordata; Mammalia; Rodentia; Cricetidae
Gene: U1
Rfam family: U1 spliceosomal RNA
About the family: U1 is a small nuclear RNA (snRNA) component of the spliceosome (involved in pre-mRNA splicing). Its 5' end forms complementary base pairs with the 5' splice junction, thus defining the 5' donor site of an intron.
Source: Ensembl